UGCGAAUUACUAAAUAAAAAUUCCAGCAGCCAAGGUCUGACAAGUCUCCGAUGAAGAUACAUCUUAAUUGGAAAGAUGGAUAAAGGAUUGGUUCUGCUGAGUUAGCAUUGCCUGAGGGUAGUUACAAUAUAAGGCUCUCACUCCAAGAGGGUAUCUCAACACGCCGCACAGCUGACUUCCUGAGAGUCCACAUCUCCUGGCGACAAAGAGAGGGCAGAAUCGUAAGGAAGACUGUCUUUCUCCCUGCAGGAGCCAUGGAUAUUGUGGGUACGUAUCAUUAUGAGUCAGACAUGCAAAAUGAGGUUCAACCAUUAUCAUACGAAACUGAAUCAACUUUAUAUGAGUAUGAUAGUACGUAUGUGCCAUCAUCAUAUGAAGGUGAAUCAGUGACUCUGACUGUGCCAAGAUCCGGGUAUUCUGUCGAGCCAUACUGGACCCAGUAAUCCGAGUAGGAGAUCUCAUCUGAAGUUAGAAAGCCAGGGUAUGAUAGUACGUAUGUGCCAUCAUCAUAUGAAGGUGAAUCAGAGAGUCUGAUUGUGCCAAGACGCGGGUAUUCUGUCGAGCCAUACUGGACCCAGUAAUCCGAGUAGGAGGUCUCAUCUGAAGUCAGAAAGCCAGGGUAUGAUAGUACGUAUGUGCCAUCAUCAUAUGAAGGUGACUCAGAGAGUCUGAUUGUGCCAAGACGCAGGUAUUCUGUCGAGCCAUACAGGACCCGGUAAUCCGAAAGAAAGAAAGCCAGGGCCAGAAAGGCAGGGUAUGAUAGUAGAUUUUUA
Penaeus monodon (black tiger shrimp) is the source of this 773-nucleotide long non-coding RNA. RefSeq lists it as uncharacterized. Lineage: Eukaryota; Metazoa; Arthropoda; Malacostraca; Decapoda; Penaeidae. The transcript has 2 exons. The record is from RefSeq and is a predicted model, not a curated record.